UUUUCCAUGGUUUAAAUAUAGCCUUUCCUAAAUUUCCAGGGCUUGCCUUACGUAUACCGCAACAGUUCUCUAUCCAGUUUCCUUCGUGACGGCCUGAGGACUUGGUUAUAGGCGAACAACAAGGCUAAACAUCAUUAAAUUUUCGACCAUUUAAAAACUGAAAACAAAGUGACGCAUUCGACAUUAAUCGUGACAAUCAAAGAGACUAGUUCGUGUUUUUGGAGAAAAGCAACCACCUUGUAAAAUGACCAAUACCUGCUGCUGCAUAUUCCUUCUGUGUGUCCUAAUAAUUGUUGAUUCUCAAAUUCAAAUAGCGAAGGUGAAAAAUCAAGAACUAAAACUUAACACUCCGGAUGACGGUCGCGGUGCUUCGCAGGAACGUGUGCCGGGGUUCCGUAUGAAAAGAUAAAAAAUUUAUACCGGGGGAUAUUUUUCACAAAGAAUGAAUUGCAAUUGAAACUAAAAGAAUUAAAUGCCUACACAAGCAGCACUAGUAAGAGUCCUGUAUGGCAGAAAAAGUUCAGGAAACCUUACGGCUAUUCCUCGCGUUUUAAAAGUACCAGUAAUUAUUACUAUUCGGGGGAUCAUGACGGUGACCAUUGUUGUCCUACGUACCGUGAUUUGAUUUUCCCUCCUGUCUUAUAUAACACGAGAGGAGUACUUCGUUACAUUGUUCAUUUCCCCGACAGUCAACCAGACCCCAUGUAUCAAUUCAUACCGAGGGGGAGAUGUGUAUCUGGAGGUAGCUGUAACAGGUGUCUACAGGAGAACGCCCUCCACUCCGUGCUCGUGAUUGACUGGACAGCACCCCCAUAUUUCGAGUUUGACGAUUUCUACCUAGAGAGUUAUUGUUCUUGUAAAGAUCGUUAAUUAUAAAUG
This is a long non-coding RNA of Saccostrea cuccullata (small rock oyster), 879 nucleotides long. RefSeq lists it as uncharacterized. The transcript is spliced from 4 exons. Lineage: Eukaryota; Metazoa; Mollusca; Bivalvia; Ostreida; Ostreidae. The record is from RefSeq and is a predicted model, not a curated record.